Pneumocystis murina B123 is the source of this 73-nucleotide transfer RNA. It matches the Rfam family "tRNA". From Rfam's summary of the family: Transfer RNA (tRNA) molecules are approximately 80 nucleotides in length. Their secondary structure includes four short double-helical elements and three loops (D, anti-codon, and T loops). NCBI's taxonomy places the organism in Eukaryota, Fungi, Ascomycota, Pneumocystomycetes, Pneumocystales, Pneumocystaceae. The record is from Rfam.
GGUCCAAUGGCCCAAUGGUUAAGGCGCAUGACUACGGAUCAUGAGACUCCAGGUUCGACUCCUGGUUGGAUCG